RNAcentral lists this non-coding RNA (21 nucleotides) under Caenorhabditis elegans. The record is from RNAcentral. Lineage: Eukaryota; Metazoa; Nematoda; Chromadorea; Rhabditida; Rhabditidae.
UCGAAACCGUAAAAUUUGGUU